GGCAACCUACGGGAGGCAGCAGUAGGGAAUCUUCCACAAUGGACGAAGGUCUGAUGGAGCAACGCCGCGUGAGUGAAGAAGGGUUUCGGCUCGUAAAGCUCUGUUGGUAGUGAAGAAAGAUAGAGGUAGUAACUGGCCUUUAUUUGACGGUAAUUACUUAGAAAGUCACGGCUAACUACGUGCCAGCAGCCGCAGUAAUACGUAGGUGGCAAGCGUUGUCCGGAUUUAUUGGGCGUAAAGCGAGUGCAGGCGGGUCAAUAAGUCUUGU
Molecule: ribosomal RNA, 268 nt
Filed under: uncultured bacterium
Lineage: Bacteria
Description: partial 16S ribosomal RNA
Rfam family: Bacterial small subunit ribosomal RNA
Source: RNAcentral